AGCGAACGUUAGCGGCGCGCCUAACACAUGCAAGUCGCACGAGAAACGGAGCAAUCCGCGGUACAGUGGCGCACGGGUGAGUAACACGUGGAUGACCUUCCCUGGAGUGGUGGAUAACCUGCCGAAAGGCGGGCUAAUACAGCAUGGGACCACGACGCUUUGGCGAUGUGGUGAAAGCGGGCCUCUAUAUAUAAGCUCGCGCUCCGGGACGGGUCCGCGUCCCAUCAGCUAGUUGGUGAGGUAACGGCUCACCAAGGCAACGACGGGUAGCUGGUCUGAGAGGAUGGCCAGCCACACUGGAACUGAGACACGGUCCAGACUCCUACGGGAGGCAGCAGUGGGGAAUCUUGCGCAAUGGGCGAAAGCCUGACGCAGCGACGCUGCGUGGGCGAAGAAGGCC
This 400-nucleotide ribosomal RNA is filed under the name uncultured bacterium. RNAcentral describes it as "bacterial SSU rRNA". It matches the Rfam family "Bacterial small subunit ribosomal RNA", at positions 29 to 416 of the family's 1533-position model. The record is from RNAcentral.